AAAUUGAAGAGUUUGAUCAUGGCUCAGAUUGAACGCUGGCGGCAGGCCUAACACAUGCAAGUCGAACGGUAACAGGAAGCAGCUUGCUGCUUCGCUGACGAGUGGCGGACGGGUGAGUAAUGUCUGGGAAACUGCCUGAUGGAGGGGGAUAACUACUGGAAACGGUGGCUAAUACCGCAUAACGUCGCAAGACCAAAGAGGGGGACCUUCGGGCCUCUUGCCAUCAGAUGUGCCCAGAUGGGAUUAGCUUGUUGGUGAGGUAACGGCUCACCAAGGCGACGAUCCCUAGCUGGUCUGAGAGGAUGACCAGCCACACUGGAACUGAGACACGGUCCAGACUCCUACGGGAGGCAGCAGUGGGGAAUAUUGCACAAUGGGCGCAAGCCUGAUGCAGCCAUGCCGCGUGUAUGAAGAAGGCCUUCGGGUUGUAAAGUAC
This 436-nucleotide ribosomal RNA is filed under the name Salmonella enterica subsp. enterica serovar Infantis. RNAcentral's name for it is "partial 16S ribosomal RNA". It matches the Rfam family "Bacterial small subunit ribosomal RNA", at positions 1 to 433 of the family's 1533-position model. The record is from RNAcentral. Lineage: Bacteria; Pseudomonadati; Pseudomonadota; Gammaproteobacteria; Enterobacterales; Enterobacteriaceae. RNAcentral also lists the same sequence under 2 other names.